Molecule: long non-coding RNA, 340 nt
Filed under: Physcomitrium patens
Lineage: Eukaryota; Viridiplantae; Streptophyta; Bryopsida; Funariales; Funariaceae
Description: long non-coding RNA (PPAT_LNC000529)
Source: RNAcentral
ACAAAGAAUGUAUUUGUCUUUGUUUGUUUCUCCUUUUAAAAAGCACUUUUCAGUGAAUGAUUGUGGAUUCCAUUGAAUUUCACCAUCACCAACACACCCAACAGAAAAAGAAAAACAGAGACAAGAGUGUGAACAAGGGUAUUAAUGAGUGAGAACAAGCCAUGAAUUCCCCACAUGUCAUACUUUGAAAUAGACUGCAUCUUUGUACAAAGUCUUAUGCUUCCCCUUGACCCCUCCAGUCUUGUCUAUCAGACCCACAUCACCAAAAUUAAAUAUCCACACAAAACACUAAACCAACAUUAAUGAUAAGUAACAAAAAAGUAAAAAGUAAAAAUAAAAA